Molecule: long non-coding RNA, 570 nt
Filed under: Homo sapiens (human)
Lineage: Eukaryota; Metazoa; Chordata; Mammalia; Primates; Hominidae
Description: non-protein coding TBX18-AS1:9
Source: RNAcentral
GUAGGGGUGCCUGAGGAGAAAGGGGUGCUGGUUCUUCCUUAUAUCCCCUGCCUGCCUCAGCUGGGCUCUGACCCAGCCAGCAGACUGGAGUCCUCUUCUGCAUGGUAAGGAAACUGAGGCUUAGAGGAGUUAUGAAAUUGCCCAAGGUUUCACAGCUGAAAUGUAUAAGGACCUGGACUUGCAAAUUUGGCACAAAGUUCUUCUAAUAAGAGGCCAUAAAAUAACCAAAUGAUUUUUUAUGUGCCUAUAGAACCAAAAGAACUAUUUCAGAAUGUCAGCUGAAAAGCACGAUAUUCCAGAUAGCUUAGAAACCUUGGCAUAGUGCCUUCCUGGAAAUCCUGGAUUGCAUCUAAAACCAUGUGGCAGAGGGAGAAACAACAGACAGGACAUCCUGAGAAGACUCAGGCUGGGACGAAAGCUCUGCUCUCCAGGGACAAAGCAGCAGGGGACCAGCCAUGCUCAGAAAUACUCCACUGGCCAGUGCACAUUUUUUUGAGCAAUUUCACUUGCUUCCUCACCACCUGUCCCCCUAACACUUCUAUUAAAGUGGCAAAUAAAUCUGAUACCCAA